CAACUUUCAACAACGGAUCUCUUGGUUCUGGCAUCGAUGAAGAACGCAGCGAAAUGCGAUAAGUAGUGUGAAUUGCAGAAUUCAGUGAAUCAUCGAAUCUUUGAACGCACAUUGCGCCCCUUGGUAUUCCAUGGGGCAUACUUGUUCGAGCGUCAUUU
This 158-nucleotide ribosomal RNA is filed under the name Pleosporales sp. r129. RNAcentral describes it as "5.8S ribosomal RNA". It matches the Rfam family "5.8S ribosomal RNA". From Rfam's summary of the family: 5.8S ribosomal RNA (5.8S rRNA) is a component of the large subunit of the eukaryotic ribosome. It is transcribed by RNA polymerase I as part of the 45S precursor that also contains 18S and 28S rRNA. Lineage: Eukaryota; Fungi; Ascomycota; Dothideomycetes; Pleosporales. RNAcentral also lists the same sequence under 2 other names. The record is from RNAcentral.